Molecule: unclassified non-coding RNA, 3420 nt
Filed under: Anthonomus grandis grandis
Lineage: Eukaryota; Metazoa; Arthropoda; Insecta; Coleoptera; Curculionidae
Description: guanine nucleotide exchange factor DBS-like
Source: RNAcentral
GAAUUAUUGAUUGUGAUUUAUUUUGAGAAACAUGGGGGAGGGUGAGGUUUCUUAUAAACUGAAAUUUUUGUGUGGAUUAAUUGAAUGAAAGUGAGCGAUAAUGUUUUAAUAAAAGCAUGUUACUUAUUUACAAUCAUUGAGCGUUAAUCUCGGUGUAAUUCCGAUAGAACAUUUGCGGAAAUUACAACGGUAGCACGGCAUAAAGGUGCCUUCCCAGGUUUAUAUAGCAAAUAUUUGUAUCUGAAUAAACUGGUAUUAAAUAAAUUCAAUAAAUUUAUUGUUUUUACAAUGAAAUGAAAAAAAUUAUAAAGGAUUUUAUGGCGAUUAAAGUAGGUGAGGAGUUAGAAAUGCAAAGUACAAUAGGUGACCCACUAGGAGUGGGUGAGGUGGUGGAUCUCCUAAAGGAACACUACGCCAUUCUUACCGGUGGCAAAUCGAACGAUGGCUGUCCUAUUAUUACCUUUCCUGAUAACAAUAAUUUUCACAUGCUUUCUGAUAUAGACUAUCAACGAUUAAUGUUGUAUUUAACUACGGUGCCUACACUUCAAGAGGCAGAUAUGGGCUUCCAUUUAAUAAUAGACCGACGAAACGAUCGUUGGAGUGCCGUUAAGUUAGUUUUAUUGAAAAUAUCUGAGUUUUUCCCAGGGAUUAUACACGUGGUGUAUGUUAUUCGACCGGCGAGUUUUCUUCAAAAAGCCUUAUCUGAAGUUAGCAAUAUGUUAUCAAAAGACGAAUUUAAAUUCCCUAUGAUUGUAGUAAGCACUAUUGAGGAACUGCACGAAUAUAUAGAUCCGACACAAUUAACAACUGAUUUAGGUGGCUCCUUAAGAUAUAAUAACGAAAUAUGGGUUGAUCAACGGAUCGAAUUAGAACAUUUUUCGUGUAUUACUCAACAAGUUUCUCGCUCCUUAGAUGAUUUUACUAAGGAGGUAAAUGAGGUGGAGCUGCCAGAAAAUGUGGAACUUACUCAAGAGCUUUUUGCUAAACAAACCGAAUCAUAUUCAAAGUUAAAAAUCGAAAUUCUGAAUACUGCGAAGGUAGGAGAAUCCCUUCUUCGUAUUAUUAAAGGAGUUCCUGAUGAAGAGGUUGAUGCUGAUGGCACAUUUAGCCAAAGUCAAGAUAUUGGGAUUGUUUUCACUGUCGAACGCCUUCUUGUGCAACUGGAAGAAACUGAGAAAACUUUUGAUGAAUUUUGGAAAGAUCAUUCGAAUAAACUACGAAACAACUUGGAAUUGAGACGGUUCGAGCAGGACUUCACCGAGUUACAAGGGAACUUUGAGUUGUCACUUAGGACAAUGUCUGAGAUGACCGAACUGGGUGAUACUGCUUCUCGGGUUGAAACACUUAUUAAAGAAAUGAGCGUUUUCGAGAACCUUUGUCAAACGGAUAUUCAACGAGCAGAAGAAGCGGUUUCAUUAGGAGAAUUGUUAAUAAAGAAUUUUAAAACUCCGCAAGUUGAUCAGAUACAAACUAAAUGCCUUGAUUUAAGCCAAAUGAAAGAGUUGCUCAUAAUUAGGUUAAACCAAAGGAAGGAUGCUUUGGUUAAGAGUAGACUGCUUAUGGAAACUAUUGAGAAGGCCAACAAUUGGUGUUCUGCUGGUGUUAGUUUAUUAGCCUCGCAGAGAAUCGAGGAGUGCACUAAUACACCUGAACUGGCUGAGAAGUAUAUAGAUGAAAUAAAAUCGUACCAGAACCAGCAGGAAUUCAGGGAUAUUCUUUUCGAUAAUAUUUCGCUGGAAACAAAAACUAUCACCUCUCAACUUGUACAAAGAAUGGAUGAUAUCAUGCUCAUGUGUAAUAAAAGAAUAUGUAGCCUUAAUAAAAUAGCAUUAAAACAUAAACGACUCAACGUACAAACUCCGAUGGCAGAUUCCAUAGUUCCUAGACAACCCCUAGUUGGUGCACCUCAUCCUAGUAAACCUUUUUUAAAAAAGGCUUUUACUGUGCCGAAAAUGGAUAAAACAAUUGAGACGGAAUUGGAAGUUGGACCCGAAGAAGAAUUAUUUCCCCAUGACAGUGAUGAUAGUGUAAACAGUGCCAAAAUAGGCCAUGUUUUAAGUGAAUUGUUGGAUACAGAGAGGGUUUAUGUAAAUGAGCUUUUGUGUAUAAUUAAGGGUUACAGGGAAGAAGCAGACUUGCCAGAAAACCAAAACUUAAUUUCUCCCAAAGCUGCCGAGAAAUUCGAUGUCAUUUUUGGUAACUUAGAUGAGAUAUACAAGUUUCAUGCAGAAUACUUUUUAAAAGAUUUGGAAAACUGCAUUAGCUCUACGGAUUUGAUUGCAUUGUGUUUUGUGCAGAAGAGAGAAACCUUUCUUAAGCUAUAUAGUUUCUAUUGCCAGAACAUCACUAAGUCAGAACAAGUGCGUGAAAAUUCAAACGAAUUAAGCCCAUUUUUCAUAAAAUGCCAAAGAAAAUUAGGCCAUAAGCUUCCUUUAGCUGCAUACCUCCUAAAGCCAGUUCAACGCAUUACAAAGUACCAAUUGCUAUUAAGCCACCUUCUGAAAUACUCAGAAGGAAAGCUGCAAUGCUGUAAAGAGUUGCAACAAGCACUCGAUUGCAUGCUGCUAGUCCUUAAAUGCGUAAACGAUUCAAUGCAUCAGAUAUCAAUAACAGGAUUUCCCAAAGAAUUGUCACAACAAGGAGAGCUACUACUUCAAGGAUCAUUUUCUGUGUGGGUCGAAAACAAAAAAGGGGAUUUAAGGUUAAGACUGAAACCGCUGAGGAGGCACUUGUUCCUCUAUCAAAAAUCGCUGGUGUUCUGCAAGCCAGUUUCAAAGACUGACAGCAAUAAGGCCAUGUACCAAUUCAAGAAUUAUUUGGAAAUGUCCCAAAUCGGAUUGACCGAAACUGUGAAAGGUGAUAGCAGGAGGUUCGAGGUGUGGCUGCAGGGACGUCAAAAAGUUCAUAUUAUUCAAGCGGCUAACUUGGAACAGAAAAACGCAUGGGUCAAUGAAAUCAAGAAAGUCCUUUAUAGUCAGUUGGAAGAAAUCAAAGGAGAGAAGAUCAAGCAGUAUGCCGCGAUUGCUCAUAAACCGUUAAAACAAACAACAUCUUGGGAAAAGGAGAAAACGCCCGCAGCAACCCAGGGAGGACAAGUUCAUCAAAAAGCGAUGAGUUGUGAUAGUGAACCACCAGGUUACCAUAACGUAGACGAAGGGGUGGAAUGCACAGAGACUGAAAACUGGUCAUCCGAUGCCAGUAAUAGCGAUGAAGAAGACCAGCAUGCAGUGUCGUAGACUGUAGUGUAGACCCGCUCAAGCUUGGUGGUAGUUAAGUAUGCAAAUACUCAUAUAAGAGGGCGAUAUAUAGCUUUAGCAGAUUAUUGCGCCAUCGGUAGCAGUGAGGUCAACAUGAAAGAAGGAGACAUUGUGGAAUUGUUAAAAGUAGGUUGUGCAGGCUGGUGGUUCGUUAAACUGAUCG